Molecule: ribosomal RNA, 570 nt
Filed under: uncultured bacterium
Lineage: Bacteria
Description: bacterial SSU rRNA
Rfam family: Bacterial small subunit ribosomal RNA
Source: RNAcentral
CCCGGGGAAACUCGGGCUAAUACCGCAUACGACCGAGAGGUGAAAGAGGGCCGCAAGGCUCUUACUGAAGGAGGGGUCCGCGUCCGAUUAGCUAGUUGGUAGGGUAAUGGCCUACCAAGGCGACGAUCGGUAGCCGGCCUGAGAGGGUGAUCGGCCACACUGGAACUGAGACACGGUCCAGACUCCUACGGGAGGCAGCAGUGGGGAAUUUUGCGCAAUGGGCGAAAGCCUGACGCAGCAACGCCGCGUGGAGGAUGAAGGUCUUUGGAUUGUAAACUCCUGUCAGCAGGGAAAAAGCGACUGGACCUAAUACGUCUGGGAGUUGAUUGUACCUGCAGAGGAAGCCCCGGCUAACUCUGUGCCAGCAGCCGCGGUAAUACAGAGGGGGCAAGCGUUAUUCGGAAUUAUUGGGCGUAAAGGGCGCGUAGGCGGCUUUGCAAGUGACGGGUGAAAGCCCUCGGCUUAACCGAGGAACUGCCUGUCAGACUGUGAGGCUUGAGACCGGGAGAGGUGAGUGGAAUUCCCAGUGUAGCGGUGAAAUGCGUAGAUAUUGGGAGGAACACCAGUGGC